Molecule: transfer-messenger RNA, 224 nt
Filed under: Selenomonadales bacterium
Lineage: Bacteria; Bacillati; Bacillota; Negativicutes; Selenomonadales
Rfam family: transfer-messenger RNA
About the family: Bacterial tmRNA, also known as 10Sa RNA or SsrA, is named for its dual tRNA and mRNA-like properties. Its role is to liberate the mRNA from a stalled ribosome.
Source: Rfam by way of RNAcentral
GGGGGCGAAAAGGUUUCGACGGGGGUAGAGUGGGUUGGGGUAGCGAGUCGGGGUCCCGACACCCGUAAAACAGGGAAAAAACAAAACAAACGCAAACGAACGUUUCGCGUUCGCUGCCUAGAUAGGUAGCCGUCGGCCCGCACUUUUCCUGCGAGGGCGGUCACCGGCGUCAUGAAAGCAGGAGUAGUGUUACUAAGCGCCUAGUAAGUAACGCGAAAAUAAUA